Molecule: long non-coding RNA, 659 nt
Organism: Nilaparvata lugens (brown planthopper)
Lineage: Eukaryota; Metazoa; Arthropoda; Insecta; Hemiptera; Delphacidae
Exons: 4
Source: RefSeq, a predicted model, not a curated record
UGAUUGAUGAGUUGAACAGAGUCCAUCUCCCUCCUCUCAUCCUCCUCUGCCCUCUGCACUUCCUUCAUCAGGGUGACAAGUGAUGACUUGUUCUCCACUGCAGCACGUUUCUGUUGAAAAAUAUUUGAUAAGUGUCUUAUUUGUUUCAGAUUAUCAUCAGAUCAGAUUUGUCAAAUCAUACUAGAGAACUUGAUCAAUAGAUUCACUACACAAUCUCAAAGCACGUGCGAGCGAGAGCGUGGUACAAGCCGAAAAAAAAAAUUCGAAUUUCUCCCCAACAACACGUGCUCCCAGAUCGUUAUCAGAUUCAUUUUCUCACCUCUCAACUCGAGUUCCGAACCUCAUAACCAGUUGAGCUCUCGUCGAGACAACACAGCUGAGAGGAAUCAAAGGCGGUAUCUACACCUGAGAGGAAUCAAUCAUAGCAUAAUCAACUACACCUGUAUCCCGCUAUCUACACCUGUAGCCCGCUAUCUACACUCGAGGAGAUUCACGCAGCAUCAAGCACUACAUCAUUUUCUCACCUCUCAACUCGAGUUCCGAACCUCAUAACCAGUUGAGCUCUCGUCGAGACAACACAGCUGAGAGGAAUCAAAGGCGGUAUCUACACCUGAGAGGAAUCAAUCAUAGCAUAAUCAACUACACCUGUAUCCCGCUAU